This 352-nucleotide unclassified non-coding RNA is filed under the name soil metagenome. Its description in RNAcentral is "partial contains 5.8S ribosomal RNA, internal transcribed spacer 2, and large subunit ribosomal RNA". The stretch from base 1 to 120 matches the Rfam family "5.8S ribosomal RNA", at positions 35 to 154 of the family's 154-position model. The record is from RNAcentral.
GAUGAAGACCGCAGCGAAAUGCGAUAAGUAGUGUGAAUUGCAGAAUUCAGUGAAUCAUCGAAUCUUUGAACGCACAUUGCGCCCGCCAGUAUUCUGGCGGGCAUGCCUGUUCGAGCGUCAUUACAACCCUCAGGCCCCCGGGCCUGGCGUUGGGGAUCGGCGGAGCCCCCCGUGGGCACACGCCGUCCCCCAAAUGCAGUGGCGGUCCCGCCGCAGCUUCCAUCGCGUAGUAGCUAACACCUCGCGACUGGAGAGCGGCGCGGCCACGCCGUAAAACACCCAACUCUUCUGAAGUUGACCUCGAAUCAGGUAGGAAUACCCGCUGAACUUAAGCAUAUCAAUAAGCGGAGGA